AACUUUCAGCAACGGAUCUCUUGGCUCUCGCAUCGAUGAAGAACGCAGCGAAAUGCGAUAAGUAAUGUGAAUUGCAGAAUUCAGUGAAUCAUCGAAUCUUUGAACGCACCUUGCGCCCUUUGGCAUUCCGAAGGGCAUGCCUGUUUGAGUAUCAUG
RNAcentral lists this ribosomal RNA (156 nucleotides) under Tomentella atramentaria. RNAcentral describes it as "5.8S ribosomal RNA". It matches the Rfam family "5.8S ribosomal RNA". Rfam says of the family: 5.8S ribosomal RNA (5.8S rRNA) is a component of the large subunit of the eukaryotic ribosome. It is transcribed by RNA polymerase I as part of the 45S precursor that also contains 18S and 28S rRNA. Functionally, it is thought that 5.8S rRNA may be involved in ribosome translocation. The record is from RNAcentral. Lineage: Eukaryota; Fungi; Basidiomycota; Agaricomycetes; Thelephorales; Thelephoraceae.